RNAcentral lists this ribosomal RNA (465 nucleotides) under uncultured bacterium. Its description in RNAcentral is "partial 16S ribosomal RNA". It matches the Rfam family "Bacterial small subunit ribosomal RNA", at positions 28 to 507 of the family's 1533-position model. The record is from RNAcentral.
GACGAACGCUGGCGGCGUGCUUAACACAUGCAAGUCGAACGGAAAGGCCCCUUUGGGGGUCCUCGAGUGGCGAACGGGUGAGUAACACGUGAGUAACCUGCCCUUGACUUCGGGAUAACUUCAGGAAACUGGGGCUAAUACCGGAUAGGAAUCCUUGCUGCAUGGUGGGGGUUGGAAAGCUUCGACGGUUUUGGAUGGACUCGCGGCUUAUCAGCUUGUUGGUGGGGUAGUGGCUUACCAAGGCUUUGACGGGUAGCCGGCCUGAGAGGGCGACCGGCCACAUUGGGACUGAGAUACGGCCCAGACUCCUACGGGAGGCAGCAGUGGGGAAUAUUGCACAAUGGGCGGAAGCCUGAUGCAGCAACGCCGCGUGCGGGAUGACGGCCUUCGGGUUGUAAACCGCUUUCAGCAGGGGCGAAGCUUGUGGUGACGGUACCUGCAGAAGAAGCACCGGCUAACUACGUG